This 543-nucleotide ribosomal RNA is filed under the name Polyonyx gibbesi. RNAcentral's name for it is "partial 16S ribosomal RNA". It matches the Rfam family "Bacterial large subunit ribosomal RNA", at positions 1831 to 2625 of the family's 2925-position model. The record is from RNAcentral. Lineage: Eukaryota; Metazoa; Arthropoda; Malacostraca; Decapoda; Porcellanidae.
GUCUUUAUGAAGUUAUAUAAAGUCUAUCCUGCCCACUGAAUUAAGUUUUGAAGGGCCGCGGUAAUUUGACUGUGCAAAGGUAGCAUAAUCAUUAGUUUUUUAAUUGAAGGCUUGUAUGAAUGGUUGGACAAGAAUUAAACUGUCUCUUUUUUUAAAUUUGAAUUUUACUUUUAAGUGAGAAGGCUUAAAUAAACUUAAGGGACGAUAAGACCCUAUAAAUCUUUAUAAUAUUAGUUUUUAUUAGUUUAAUAUAUAGUUAAAAUUUACGAAUAAAAAUUUAAUUAUUUUACUGGGGCGGUAAUAAUAUAAGAAAUAACUGUUUAAAAGUAUUACAAGUUAAUUGAUGAGUUAAAGUGCUUUUUUAAAAAUAAAUAGUUUAAGUUACUUUAGGGAUAACAGCAUAAUUUUUUUUGAGAGUUCUUAUCGAAAAAAAAGUUUGUGACCUCGAUGUUGAAUUAAAAUUUCUUUGUGGUGUAGCAGUUACAAAAGAUAGUCUGUUCGACUAUUAAAUUUUUACAUGAUUUGAGUUCAGACCGGCGUAAG